RNAcentral lists this unclassified non-coding RNA (1755 nucleotides) under Haliotis rubra (blacklip abalone). Its description in RNAcentral is "uncharacterized LOC124277932, transcript variant X2". Lineage: Eukaryota; Metazoa; Mollusca; Gastropoda; Lepetellida; Haliotidae. The record is from RNAcentral.
GCUUUCAUUCCCCACACAUAUCAUCAGGCGGGAUCUGUUGCUUUGGAUCUUUCUCGUUUUGACAAUACCACACAAAUUUCAGAUUGGCCCUCGAAACAUCAGAAGAUAUCAACCUGACACCUGACACCAUAAUGCAACCCUCGCGUCACUUUUAUCUGGUGAUUGUUGGUGCCCUCACUAUGUUCAUCGUUGAGCACGUCAUCCUACCCUUCUUUUCACCCCACAGGGUGGGGACCACCGAGUUUAUGCGCUCGGAGGCAUAUCAAAGGUUCAUGCAUACACCAGUUCGUCCCAGUCUUGGUAAAACUAAAGUGUAUAGUUUCAAUGGAAGUCACAUGCAGCAACUUCAUGAUUUUUGCACGUGGACAGUGCAUGUUGAUUGUGUCCCCCUGAACACACCACGAGGAUUGACGCCAAUCCACAUACACGAUGUAGCGGUUGACAAGUGGGUGUCCAAGAAAAUAAAACAUAAUGGAGUAUGGGAAUCUAACAACAUCAAACUUGUUUUGUCAGAACUGCAAAAGGACCCAGAUCUUGGCUUCAUGGACUUAGGGUCUCAUGUUGGUGCCUACUCCCUUUCUGUGGCCGUGUUUGGGAGGAAGGUGGUAUCUGUGGACCCUCUUAUAGAGAAUGUCCAAAGACUUUGUAAGUCUAUCCAGAAGGGUGGAUUUACGGACAGGAUGACAAUUAUAUUUAAUCCUCUAGGUGCAAACCAUUCUCUCGUGAAUUUCAAGCGUAUUCCAGACAAUCUUGGAGGGACAAGUGUUGUAGCGUCGUCUACAUCGUCGCUCACAUCACCUUGCGGUGAACCAUCUGACUCUUACACUAUAACUUUAGAUGAUAUUUUACCAUACCUUCCAUUCAAGAAAGCAGUUUUGAAAAUGGACAUACAAGAAUUUGAAUAUUACGUUCUCCGUGGUGCUGGCAGAUUUUUCAAGGAGAUUGAAGUUCCAGCAAUUCUUAUGGAAUGGGUACUCAUGAAAACAGAUAUCAAUGGUGAAAACCUGGUAGAGUUAUUAUCAAGCUGGAAAUAUUCUGCAUACGAGCCUAUCAUUGGAGGCAAGAAACUCGACCCAACUCAUUUCAGAAGCUGGCCAUAUGAUGUACUAUGGAAGAAGGCAAAGCUUGAUCAGUAGGACACCAUGACAUACUUUUCAAAUUGUUCAUGAACAAAAUUUCAUGAAUAUAUUGCUAGUUUGGUGAAUAUGUGUAUGUUUAAGACUGAAGCAUGCUUCUUAUUUAUGAUGAAUUACAAAGGAAUAUAGUUCAUCAUUCAGAUGUAUAUUUGCUGUUGAAUGAGGUGUUUGUGAAAUCGAUAAUGCAGUGAGGUAAGGGAUCCAGCGGAUUUCACACAAUGACAUAAGAGCAAUGGGUGAACUGAACGUCGCACUGAUCAAACUGACAUUUACAUAAUGGCUACCUAGAAAGAGCUGUAACAGAUGGACAUAGACAGAAGACAGUGUAGUAGGACAUGGCUGCUGAUGUACAGUGACAUUGCUCAGAUCUCGUGUGGUACAAUGUAACGUUCCUUGAUCGAUUUCCAUGUGUUGGACUCCCGUAAGGUACAAUGUGUACAUUUGUGUUGGACUCCCGUAAGGUACAAUGUUUACGUUUGUGCUGGACUCCCGUAAGGUACAAUGUGUACGUUUGUGUUGGACUCCCGUAAGGUACAAUGUGUACGUUUGUGUUGGUCUCCCGUAAGGUACAGUGUGCACGUUUGUGCUGGUCUCCCGUGAGGUACAAUGUGUACGUUUG